Molecule: ribosomal RNA, 1284 nt
Filed under: Triticum aestivum (bread wheat)
Lineage: Eukaryota; Viridiplantae; Streptophyta; Magnoliopsida; Poales; Poaceae
Description: partial small subunit ribosomal RNA
Source: RNAcentral
AUGGCGGAGGGGAAGCCGCUGCUGCGGUCGUUCGUGGAGGUGCCGAGGGACUCGCACUUCCCCAUCCAGAACCUCCCCUUCGGGGUCUUCCGCAGGAGGGGCCAGCCCGAGGGCCCGCCGCGCCCGGCGACGGCCAUCGGGGACUUCGCGCUCGACCUCGCCGCCGUCUCCGCCGCCGGCCUCUUCGACGGGCCCCUCCUCUCCGCCUCCCCAUGCUUCCACCAGGAAACGCUCAACAUGUUCUUGGGGUUGGGCCGACCGGCGUGGAAGGAGGCGCGCGCCACGCUCCAGAAAAUCCUCUCAGCUGAUGAGCCGGUGCUGCGUGACAACGAGGCCUUGAGGAAGAACUGCCUUGUGCCAAUGAGUGAUGUAGAGAUGCUUCUUCCUAUCACGGUAGGAGACUACACGGAUUUCUUUUGUUCUGUGCACCACGCAAGGAACUGUGGAUUCAUCUUCCGUGGACCACAGACUCCAGUCAAUCCGAAUUGGUUUCACUUACCAGUUGGUUACCAUGGACGGGCAUCAUCUGUAAUCAUAUCUGGAACAGACAUUAUUCGACCCAGAGGACAAGGUCAUCCAACAGGAAGCGCUCAACCUUAUUUCGGUCCUUCUCAAAAGCUUGAUUUUGAACUUGAGAUGGCUGCCAUUGUUGGACCAGGGAAUGAACUGGGCAAACCUAUUGAUAUUGCUGACGCUGAGGAUCAUAUAUUUGGCUUAGUGGUAAUGAAUGAUUGGAGUGCCAGAGAUAUUCAAGCCUGGGAGACCAUACCUCUUGGACCUUUCCUUGGCAAAAGCUUCAGUACAUCUGUAUCACCUUGGAUUGUGACCCUGGAUGCCCUGAAGCCUUUUGCCUGUGAGGCUCCUAAGCAGGAACCCGAACCUUUGCCUUACUUAGCUGAAAAGAAUCAUAUAAACUAUGACAUUCCUCUUGAAGCUUGGAUUAAGCCCAAAGAGCAAAGUGAAGCAUCAGUUGUCACAAAGACCAAUUUCAAACAUAUGUACUGGACUGUGACGCAGCAACUAGCACACCACACCGUGAAUGGAUGCAAUCUGAGACCAGGGGACAUGUUUGCGACUGGCACCCUCAGUGGACCUGAACCAGACUCUCUGGGAUGUUUGCUGGAGAUAACGUGGAACGGGCAGAAGGAGAUAUCAGUUGGGAAUUCGAUCCGCAAGUUCCUCCAAGAUGGGGACGAAGUCAUCUUGACAGGCUGUUGCAAGGGCGAGGACUACAACGUUGGAUUCGGAACCUGCACGGGGAAGAUUCUGCCGUCGCUUCCAUGA